Molecule: long non-coding RNA, 352 nt
Organism: Saccostrea echinata
Lineage: Eukaryota; Metazoa; Mollusca; Bivalvia; Ostreida; Ostreidae
Exons: 2
Source: RefSeq, a predicted model, not a curated record
UAUAAGGAUAUUAUUCCUCAGAUUAGAAACACGUAAAGAUGAAGACAGUCGCCUUACUUCUCCUUCUGUGCCUUCUGUCCCUGGUAAUUGUUGACCCAGUCGUUAGUCAGGGUGGAUGUGUGAGAAGAUGUAGGCACAGAGACUGUUACAGGUACUGUAGGAGCCGGGGGUACCUGACAGGAUCCUGUCGACGCUCAAUCUUCUGUCCGCGGAGUAGGCCAAGAAGAUGUGGUUGUCACUUUAGAAAGCCGUAUGGUGGAUGAAACAAAGAACAACAUGCAAUGUGCACAUUGACAUCAAUAAAGAGAAAUAAAAUAGGUGUUUAUGUUUUUAAGCAUGUAAGCACGAUCUG